ACGAACGCUGGCGGCGUGCUUAACACAUGCAAGUCGAACGGAAAGGCCCCUUUGGGGGUACUCGAGUGGCGAACGGGUGAGUAACACGUGAGUAACCUGCCCUUGACUUCGGGAUAACUUUAGGAAACUGGGGCUAAUACCGGAUAGGAAUCCUUGCUGCAUGGUGGGGGUUGGAAAGCUUCGGCGGUUUUGGAUGGACUCGCGGCUUAUCAGCUUGUUGGUGGGGUAGUGGCUUACCAAGGCUUUGACGGGUAGCCGGCCUGAGAGGGCGACCGGCCACAUUGGGACUGAGAUACGGCCCAGACUCCUACGGGAGGCAGCAGUGGGGAAUAUUGCACAAUGGGCGGAAGCCUGAUGCAGCAACGCCGCGUGCGGGAUGACGGCCUUCGGGUUGUAAACCGCUUUCAGCAGGGGCGAAGCUUGUGGUGACGGUACCUGCAGAAGAAGCACCGGCUAACUACGUG
Molecule: ribosomal RNA, 464 nt
Filed under: uncultured bacterium
Lineage: Bacteria
Description: partial 16S ribosomal RNA
Rfam family: Bacterial small subunit ribosomal RNA
Source: RNAcentral